Molecule: long non-coding RNA, 326 nt
Organism: Leptidea sinapis
Lineage: Eukaryota; Metazoa; Arthropoda; Insecta; Lepidoptera; Pieridae
Exons: 2
Source: RefSeq, a predicted model, not a curated record
AUUGCAAAUCAUUCUAUCGGCGUAAUCAAUCCGGCGCACGUGGAUCGUCAUUGUAAAAAAAAAACAAAAUUACUGUACAAAAAUGCCUGUUUACUACGGUGGGUACGUUGGAGGGCCGCAGGGCGGUGGCUAUUGUCUGUACUCCUACCAGCCUUGCAACCCUUGUACUGGCGGUUGUGGACCAGUAUCCUGUUAAUCAGAUCAUCGAAGAGGCUGCUGUUGAAAGUUGUCGAUAAUCUCCUCACUCAUGUUCAUUGUUAUGUUUGGUUUUACUUACCUUGGCGUUUUUCUCAAUCGUUAUAUGUAAAUAAACACCUUUGUUUGAA